Molecule: long non-coding RNA, 571 nt
Organism: Eutrema salsugineum
Lineage: Eukaryota; Viridiplantae; Streptophyta; Magnoliopsida; Brassicales; Brassicaceae
Exons: 2
Source: RefSeq, a predicted model, not a curated record
ACACAUCUGUUGUUUUCUCUCUCAAACUUUAGAAAGAGAAAGUUCUCUCAACUUUUCUGCGUUUCCUCUUUUGGCCGGUGACCGGUGUUAUUCCGACCCGACACUGUGCUGUUUAUAUCUUCGGUUUUCUUCUUUGCGAGGAGUAAUCUUUGUUGUUAUCCUCUUGCUCAUCACUCGGAGCAACAACGGGACAGAGCUCAGACCAAUAAAUUGGGUCUGAACGGCGACGAAGCUUCCUUGGAGGAGGAGAUUUGGAAAAAGUUCAAAAGCGGUUUCAUUUCUAUUUCAGUUUUAUUUUCCGAUGAGUAAUUUCGAAGAUAUGAAGGAUAACAAAAGGUUAGCAUCUUGGUACAAAAUUUCUUGCUGUGGAGGUUAGAGUCACUAGAGAUGCAGUUCACCGGAGUUUGCAGUCGCCGGCAGCAAAGAGUGGUGACGGAAGCAUCAUCGAUUACGCAGACAAGCCUGGAGCAAGACACCUGUUUUCUCUUUGUUUCAAGAGAUAACGUGUGUCACUACACGUGUUUGGAUUAUGUAUCUUUUAUAGGCCUUGUAUGUUUGGGCUUCUCUUGUA